UACGGAGGGAGCUAGCGUUGUUCGGAAUUACUGGGCGUAAAGCGCGCGUAGGCGGCUUUGUAAGUUAGAGGUGAAAGCCCGGAGCUCAACUCCGGAACUGCCUUUAAAACUGCAUCGCUUGAAUCCAGGAGAGGUGAGUGGAAUUCCGAGUGUAGAGGUGAAAUUCGUAGAUAUUCGGAAGAACACCAGUGGCGAAGGCGGCUCACUGGACUGGUAUUGACGCUGAGACGCGAAAGCGUGGGUAGCAAACAGG
This 253-nucleotide ribosomal RNA is filed under the name uncultured bacterium. Its description in RNAcentral is "partial 16S ribosomal RNA". It matches the Rfam family "Bacterial small subunit ribosomal RNA", at positions 524 to 776 of the family's 1533-position model. The record is from RNAcentral.